This 1424-nucleotide ribosomal RNA is filed under the name Staphylococcus aureus. RNAcentral's name for it is "bacterial LSU rRNA". It matches the Rfam family "Bacterial large subunit ribosomal RNA", at positions 1469 to 2925 of the family's 2925-position model. The record is from RNAcentral. Lineage: Bacteria; Bacillati; Bacillota; Bacilli; Caryophanales; Staphylococcaceae.
GUGUUAAACCUAAUAAAUCAUUCGAUUUCUGCUAAUAUCUGCAUUUUUUAUCUUCUUUUCUUCAUUUAAAAAAUUUUUUAAUGCAUCAUCUUCAGCCAUAAAUUUUUUGUUGAUAUUUUUUUACAGCCUUUUCAUAUUCUGGCUCUUCAUAUUUUUCAUAAUCAGCAAAAGAUAAUGAUGAAAUCAAACUUUCGCGAGCGAACUCUCGUUAAGGAACUCGGCAAAAUGACCCCGUAACUUCGGGAGAAGGGGUGCUCUUUAGGGUUAACGCCCAGAAGAGCCGCAGUGAAUAGGCCCAAGCGACUGUUUAUCAAAAACACAGGUCUCUGCUAAACCGUAAGGUGAUGUAUAGGGGCUGACGCCUGCCCGGUGCUGGAAGGUUAAGAGGAGUGGUUAGCUUCUGCGAAGCUACGAAUCGAAGCCCCAGUAAACGGCGGCCGUAACUAUAACGGUCCUAAGGUAGCGAAAUUCCUUGUCGGGUAAGUUCCGACCCGCACGAAAGGCGUAACGAUUUGGGCACUGUCUCAACGAGAGACUCGGUGAAAUCAUAGUACCUGUGAAGAUGCAGGUUACCCGCGACAGGACGGAAAGACCCCGUGGAGCUUUACUGUAGCCUGAUAUUGAAAUUCGGCACAGCUUGUACAGGAUAGGUAGGAGCCUUUGAAACGUGAGCGCUAGCUUACGUGGAGGCGCUGGUGGGAUACUACCCUAGCUGUGUUGGCUUUCUAACCCGCACCACUUAUCGUGGUGGGAGACAGUGUCAGGCGGGCAGUUUGACUGGGGCGGUCGCCUCCUAAAAGGUAACGGAGGCGCUCAAAGGUUCCCUCAGAAUGGUUGGAAAUCAUUCAUAGAGUGUAAAGGCAUAAGGGAGCUUGACUGCGAGACCUACAAGUCGAGCAGGGUCGAAAGACGGACUUAGUGAUCCGGUGGUUCCGCAUGGAAGGGCCAUCGCUCAACGGAUAAAAGCUACCCCGGGGAUAACAGGCUUAUCUCCCCCAAGAGUUCACAUCGACGGGGAGGUUUGGCACCUCGAUGUCGGCUCAUCGCAUCCUGGGGCUGUAGUCGGUCCCAAGGGUUGGGCUGUUCGCCCAUUAAAGCGGUACGCGAGCUGGGUUCAGAACGUCGUGAGACAGUUCGGUCCCUAUCCGUCGUGGGCGUAGGAAAUUUGAGAGGAGCUGUCCUUAGUACGAGAGGACCGGGAUGGACAUACCUCUGGUGUACCAGUUGUCGUGCCAACGGCAUAGCUGGGUAGCUAUGUGUGGACGGGAUAAGUGCUGAAAGCAUCUAAGCAUGAAGCCCCCCUCAAGAUGAGAUUUCCCAACUUCGGUUAUAAGAUCCCUCAAAGAUGAUGAGGUUAAUAGGUUCGAGGUGGAAGCAUGGUGACAUGUGGAGCUGACGAAUACUAAUCGAUCGAAGACUUAAUC